RNAcentral lists this ribosomal RNA (52 nucleotides) under Epilobium dodonaei. Its description in RNAcentral is "partial 28S ribosomal RNA". Lineage: Eukaryota; Viridiplantae; Streptophyta; Magnoliopsida; Myrtales; Onagraceae. The record is from RNAcentral.
GACCCCAGGUCAGGCGGGGCCACCCGCUGAAUUUAAGCAUAUCAAUAAGCGG